RNAcentral lists this transfer RNA (70 nucleotides) under Limosa haemastica. RNAcentral's name for it is "tRNA-Ser". Lineage: Eukaryota; Metazoa; Chordata; Aves; Charadriiformes; Scolopacidae. The record is from RNAcentral.
GUCCAACCAACAGGAACUGCUAAUUCUUGCAUCUGAGUCUAAAACCUCAGUCCCCUUACUUUUAAAGGAU